Melospiza melodia melodia is the source of this 337-nucleotide long non-coding RNA. RefSeq lists it as uncharacterized. The transcript has 3 exons. The record is from RefSeq and is a predicted model, not a curated record. NCBI's taxonomy places the organism in Eukaryota, Metazoa, Chordata, Aves, Passeriformes, Passerellidae.
ACCCCCCAAACCCCACUUUUUAACCCCCCAAUUCCAAACCUGAUUUUAGGGCGAGAGGUGCAGCAUAAAGAAAGCGGCGGCGCGGGGCCUUUGCACUAUUUUUGGUGGCGGUUCCUGUUGCAGGAAAAGAAGAAAAAAAAAAAAAAAAAAAGGUAAUUUUGGGUUUUUCCCACUCCAAAAAGAAAUGUACAUGUCAAAAAAAUGGAUUUUUUUUCAGUAAAUAAAUGGAAAUAUUCUCUUUAUUCCAGGAUGGGCCCCGAGCCUGCAGAAUUCCUUUGGAAAAACCCCAAAAAUCCCAAAACUCCUUGGAAGGAAGGAAGGAAGGAAGGAAGGAAGG